UGGGGAAUUUUCCGCAAUGGGCGAAAGCCUGACGGAGCAAUGCCGCGUGGAGGUGGAAGGCCUACGGGUCGUCAACUUCUUUUCUCGGAGAAGAAACAAUGACGGUAUCUGAGGAAUAAGCAUCGGCUAACUCUGUGCCA
This 140-nucleotide ribosomal RNA is filed under the name uncultured bacterium. RNAcentral describes it as "partial 16S rRNA". It matches the Rfam family "Bacterial small subunit ribosomal RNA", at positions 355 to 510 of the family's 1533-position model. The record is from RNAcentral.